This 77-nucleotide transfer RNA is filed under the name Mailhella sp. RNAcentral's name for it is "tRNA-Arg". It matches the Rfam family "tRNA". From Rfam's summary of the family: Transfer RNA (tRNA) molecules are approximately 80 nucleotides in length. RNAcentral also lists the same sequence under 2 other names. Lineage: Bacteria; Pseudomonadati; Thermodesulfobacteriota; Desulfovibrionia; Desulfovibrionales; Desulfovibrionaceae. The record is from RNAcentral.
GCGCUUGUAGCUCAGCUGGAUAGAGCGACAGCCUCCGGAGCUGUAGGCCUGGCGUUCGAAUCGCCACAGGCGCACCA